AACGAACGCUGGCGGCAUGCCUAACACAUGCAAGUCGAACGAGACCUUCGGGUCUAGUGGCGCACGGGUGCGUAACGCGUGGGAACCUGCCCUUAGGUUCGGAAUAACUCCCCGAAAGGGGUGCUAAUACCGGAUAAUGGCUUCGGACCAAAGAUUUAUCGCCUUUGGAUGGUCCCGCGUUGGAUUAGCUAGUUGGUAGGGUAAAAGCCUACCAAGGCGACGAUCCAUAGCUGGUCUGAGAGGAUGAUCAGCCACACUGGGACUGAGACACGGCCCAGACUCCUACGGGAGGCAGCAGUGGGGAAUAUUGGACAAUGGGCGAAAGCAUGAUCCAGCAAUGCCGCGUGAGUGAUGAAGGCCUUAGGGUUGUAAAGCUCUUUUACCCGGGAUGAUAAUGACAGUACCGGGAGAAUAAGCUCCGGCUAACUCCGUG
Molecule: ribosomal RNA, 433 nt
Filed under: uncultured bacterium
Lineage: Bacteria
Description: partial 16S ribosomal RNA
Rfam family: Bacterial small subunit ribosomal RNA
Source: RNAcentral